RNAcentral lists this long non-coding RNA (868 nucleotides) under Mytilus galloprovincialis (Mediterranean mussel). Lineage: Eukaryota; Metazoa; Mollusca; Bivalvia; Mytilida; Mytilidae. The record is from RNAcentral.
CUCUGACAUCCCUCGGCCCCACUGAGCUUGUCUGGCAAAACAGCCGUUGCACAUCAAAGCAAUCUGUGAAACGUGGAGACCUCUGAAGAUCCUCGCCACGUAAAAAAUAAGAGGUAAAACACUAGAAAAUAUCCUGUAAUUAUAUAAAGCAUCAAAACAAAUAAAAACAUUGACAACAAUAAGGCUUAACUCAUCAGAUGGAUACAUCUAAUAAAAAUCUAUGAUUAUUUCAAGAAAAUUAUCAAUGCAUAUGAACUUAUAAUAUAAAAAAAGAUGUGGUAUGAUUGCCAAUGAGACAACUCUUCACAAGAGACCGUGUGACACAGAAAAUAACAACUAUAGGUCACUGUACGACCUUCAACAAUGACCAAAGCUCAUACCGCAUAGUUAGCUAUAAAAGGUCCUGAAAUGACACAUGUAGAACAAUGCAAACGAGAAAACUAACGGCCUAAUUUAUGUAUAAAAAAUGAACAAAAAACAAAUAUGUAACACAGCAACAAACGACAACCACUGAAUUAAAGACUCCUGACUUUGGACAGGCACAUACAUACAGAAUGUGGCGAGGUUAAACAUGUUAGCGGGAUCCCAACCCUUCCCUUAACCUGGGACAGUGGUGUAACAGUACAACAUAAGAACGAACUAUACAAAUCAGUUGAAAAAGGCUUAACUCAUCAGAUGGAUACAAAUAGAAAUACAUCUUACAAAAACAGAGAGUGAACGUGACCGAGUACUUGUACAUCCCAUCAACAAAAAGACACCAAGUACAGAUCUGAGAGUACUGGCAGUUACUGACAGCUAGUUCAAAGCCAAUUACAACUAAUAAAAAGUAAUGCAUCUGAGACUAAAUUAUCAAUCAUUACACAUCCAG